CCUACGGGGGCUGCAGUGGGGAAUAUUGGACAAUGGGCGAAAGCCUGAUCCAGCCAUGCCGCGUGUGUGAAGAAGGCCUUCGGGUUGUAAAGCACUUUCAGUGUGGAAGAAAGCCUUGGGGCUAAUACCCUCGAGGAAGGACAUCACCCACAGAAGAAGCACCGGCUAACUCCGUGCCAGCAGCCGCGGUAAUACGGAGGGUGCGAGCGUUAAUCGGAAUUACUGGGCGUAAAGCGCGCGUAGGCGGUCUGAUAAGCCGGUUGUGAAAGCCCCGGGCUCAACCUGGGAACGGCAUCCGGAACUGGCAGGCUAGAGUGCAGGAGAGGAAGGUAGAAUUCCCGGUGUAGCGGUGAAAUGCGUAGAGAUCGGGAGGAAUACCAGUGGCGAAGGCGGCCUUCUGGACUGACACUGACGCUGAGGUGCGAAAGCGUGGGUAGCAAACAGGAUUAGAUACCCGUGUAGUC
RNAcentral lists this ribosomal RNA (464 nucleotides) under Vreelandella stevensii. RNAcentral describes it as "partial 16S ribosomal RNA". It matches the Rfam family "Bacterial small subunit ribosomal RNA", at positions 338 to 795 of the family's 1533-position model. Lineage: Bacteria; Pseudomonadati; Pseudomonadota; Gammaproteobacteria; Oceanospirillales; Halomonadaceae. The record is from RNAcentral.